Non-coding RNA from Pantherophis guttatus, 728 nucleotides. The record is from RefSeq and is a predicted model, not a curated record. Lineage: Eukaryota; Metazoa; Chordata; Lepidosauria; Squamata; Colubridae.
UUGCCGUUUCAGGCUCCCGCCACUCGCCGCGCCGGAGAGGCAAAGAGACCUUGGCGAAGGCGGAGGAAGCCUCGGGCGUUUCUAUGGUAACUGCCAAACGCCGGCCUAGCGUAAGUGAUGGACGGCGAAGCCUGCAGCGAGGCAAAAAGGGGGCCCGUGGGGUCGUUUUGUAUCAGUGUUUUGUAUCCUCUCUCUCGGCUCGGAAAGGGUCGAGGCGGUCUCUCUCCGCGCGUCCUUGCGACGGCGAGGACAGAGGGAAGAAAGGGAGGGUGGCGUUUCCUCCCCCAGGUUCUUCGGCGUAGUCGCUGCGGGCGUCCAAGUCGCCUCAAAAAAAAAGAAAAGAAAAAAAAAGAUCUAAGUCCCCCUGCUUCUAAGGAGAUUACACUCUUGUCCCAUCCCCCUCCCGCCUUUUUCAAUGCCAUUUGGUGGACUUGAGAGCUGGAGUUUUGUCUCUUGAGAUCUUUUAACAGGUUUUACUGCCCAAAACCCGAAGGUGCUUUUGAAGCCUUCCGGGAUGCAGCGAUUUCUGCAGGUUUGCUCUUCCCCGGUCGAAUUCAAGGAGCUUUUUAAAGCUUCAGUGCUCAAGUCGGGCCAGGUUUAAGAUCUACACAGAAAGAAACGGGGCUCGCUCCAACCUAAUUGUGUAUGUAUGGGAAAGGGCUGUGUGACUUUAAAUAUGUUUUUUUUUUUAACUGAACUUUAAAAAUAAAGUCUUGCUCUUAACAAUG